Molecule: ribosomal RNA, 176 nt
Filed under: uncultured bacterium
Lineage: Bacteria
Description: partial 16S ribosomal RNA
Rfam family: Bacterial small subunit ribosomal RNA
Source: RNAcentral
UCGGAAGUUGCUAGUAAUCGCAGAUCAGCAUGCUGCGGUGAAUACGUUCCCGGGCCUUGUACACACCGCCCGUCACACCAUGGGAGUCGGUAACACCCGAAGCCUGUAGUCUAACCGCAAGGAGGACGCAGUCGAAGGUGGGAUUGAUGACUGGGGUGAAGUCGUAACAAGGUACC